GAAUAUCUUGUCUAAUUUAAGAAUUUUGGUGAAGAGAUUUGGGGGUUUUUCCACAGUAAGUCCUAAAGAAUGGCUCUCUUUGGCACCUGGUGUCAAGGCAUUAUUUAGACGUUGUAGCCAAGUGCUUCACAAGCUUUAAAGUGCACAUGAAUCUUGUUAACAUGCAGAUCUGGUUCAGUGGGUCUGGGGUGGGACCUCAGAGUCUGCAUUCCUAACAAGAUCCUGGGAGAUACCAAUGCUGCUCCUGCGCAAACCACGCUCACAGGGAAAGCAAGCAGCCAGCAAACAGCUCACUUGUGCUGUUUUGUCAAGAAUGGACCUCAGAGGUUGUGUUUGAGAAGCUUGGCACACUGGUUACACAGGCGUGAGUGCCAGGUGGGUUCUCCUGGCAUCCAACACAGCUUCGGAGAAGCACAAGCGGGAAGCAAGGGACCCGUGAUGCAGGCCUGCAGCGAAGCCCUGGCCAGCCUGCCUCUCCACGGAGCUGGUUGAAGUCUGCAGAGAACUGGGCACCGCAGCUGUGCGUGGCACGAGAGGACAGUCUGAGAAGACCUGAAGUGAUGUACAAGAGGUGUUCAAUACAUGGUGCGUGUCACACUGUAAGAGCUCAAUAAAUAUUUGUUCACUGAAAAGACCCCAGGUGACUGGAUCACGGAACUGAAGAGUUGGAGGAGGCCGUGGAAAUCAGCUCAUCCAGCCUCCCACCUGGUGUAGGUUUUCCUUCUGAAGGAGCCAGGCAGAUGCUUCCCGAAAAGGGGAGCUCACCCACUGCUUGUAGGGAGUCCUUUUUGUGUGUAGGGACUUCUACCUCUGGGAUGUUUCCCUCACAUGGACAGAAAUCUAUCUCCCUGGACAUUCUACCAUCAGUUCCAGUUCAGCCCCCAACAACAUAACACAGCCACUUCCUUUGCCAAAUAGCACCUGGAAAUGAGGUUUGCACGUGAAGGCAGCAUUUAAACAGGAAGCUGAGAGUCUUUAGUUCAGUGUCCUCCAACUUAAGUCUGGGUUGGCCAGCAUGGCCUGAGACUGGGUUUAACGCUACCCUACUUCACCCCACCCCAGGCACAGGUUCCCACAACCUGAGCAGCGCCUGUCCUGUUAGGGAGGGAGGCGAUUCACAUCCAACUGGGAGGAGCGGCCUUAUACGCUUAGAAAAGCAACUCUGUCAAAAUUGACACCUUCUGUCAUCCUCCCAUGUCGAGCACCCUGUCCUAGGAUGGUCACCCCUGAGCAUCCUUCCUGAGUGGUACAUUCUUGAGAAACUGAACCAUGGCCAGAGGCAGCCAACCCAGCGCCGUACCUUGGACUUCUGAAGAUAGUGACCAA
This 1326-nucleotide long non-coding RNA is filed under the name Equus caballus (horse). RNAcentral's name for it is "lncRNA (ENSECAG00000044554.1)". Lineage: Eukaryota; Metazoa; Chordata; Mammalia; Perissodactyla; Equidae. The record is from RNAcentral.